This 497-nucleotide ribosomal RNA is filed under the name uncultured bacterium. RNAcentral describes it as "partial 16S ribosomal RNA". It matches the Rfam family "Bacterial small subunit ribosomal RNA", at positions 28 to 507 of the family's 1533-position model. The record is from RNAcentral.
GAUGAACGCUGGCGGCGUGCCUAAUACAUGCAAGUCGAGCGAACAGACGAGGAGCUUGCUCCUCUGACGUUAGCGGCGGACGGGUGAGUAACACGUGGAUAACCUACCUAUAAGACUGGGAUAACUUCGGGAAACCGGAGCUAAUACCGGAUAAUAUAUUGAACCGCAUGGUUCAAUAGUGAAAGACGGUUUUGCUGUCUCUUAUAGCUGGAUCCGCGCCGCAUUAGCUAGUUGGUAAGGUAACGGCUUACCAAGGCAACGAUGCGUAGCCGACCUGAGAGGGUGAUCGGCCACACUGGAACUGAGACACGGUCCAGACUCCUACGGGAGGCAGCAGUAGGGAAUCUUCCGCAAUGGGCGAAAGCUUGACGGAGCAACGCCGCGUGAGUGAUGAAGGUCUUCGGAUCGUAAAACUCUGUUAUUAGGGAAGAACAAAUGUGUAAGUAACUAUGCACGUCUUGACGGUACCUAAUCAGAAAGCCACGGCUAACUACGUG